AGCAGCCGCGAUAACACGUAGGUGGCAAGCGUUGUCCGGAAUUAUUGGGCGUAAAGGGCUCGCAGGCGGUUUCUUAAGUCUGAUGUGAAAGCCCCCGGCUCAACCGGGGAGGGUCAUUGGAAACUGGGAAACUUGAGUGCAGAAGAGGAGAGUGGAAUUCCACGUGUAGCGGUGAAAUGCGUAGAGAUGUGGAGGAACACCAGUGGCGAAGGCGACUCUCUGGUCUGUAACUGACGCUGAGGAGCGAAAGCGUGGGGAGCGAACAGGAUUAGAUACCCCUGUAGUCCCUGUCUCUUAUACA
This 301-nucleotide ribosomal RNA is filed under the name uncultured bacterium. RNAcentral describes it as "partial 16S ribosomal RNA". It matches the Rfam family "Bacterial small subunit ribosomal RNA", at positions 510 to 808 of the family's 1533-position model. The record is from RNAcentral.